GAUGAACGCUGGCGGCGUGCCUAAUACAUGCAAGUCGAGCGAACAGACGAGGAGCUUGCUCCGCUGACGUUAGCGGCGGGCGGGUGAGUAACACGUGGAUAACCUACCUAUAAUACUGGGAUAACUUCGGGAAACCGGAGCUAAUACCGGAGAAUAUAUUGAACCGCAUGGUUCAAUGGUAAAAGACGGUUUUGCUGUCACUUCUAGAUGGUUCCGCGCCGUAUGAGGUAGUUGGGAAGGUAACGGCUUACCAAGGCAACGAGGCGUAGCCGACCGGAGGGGGUGGUAGGCCGCAUGGGAAGUGGAACAGGGUCUAGACUCCUACGGGACGGAGCAGAAGGCAACCUGACGCAAUGGGCGAAAGCAUGACGCAGCAACGCCGAGUGAGUGAUGAAGGUCUUCGGAUCGUAAAACUCUGUUAUGAGGGAAGAACAAAUGUGUACGUAAAUAUGCACGUAUUGACGGUACCUAAUCAGAAAGCAACGGCUAACUACGUG
This 497-nucleotide ribosomal RNA is filed under the name uncultured bacterium. Its description in RNAcentral is "partial 16S ribosomal RNA". It matches the Rfam family "Bacterial small subunit ribosomal RNA", at positions 28 to 507 of the family's 1533-position model. The record is from RNAcentral.